ACUAAAUAAAUAAAUAAAUAAAUAAAAAGGAACAAUAUAGAGAUUAGCAUGUCCCCUGCGCAAGGAUGACAUGCAAAUCUACGAAGUGUUCCAUAUUAGA
Myotis lucifugus (little brown bat) is the source of this 100-nucleotide non-coding RNA. The record is from Rfam. Lineage: Eukaryota; Metazoa; Chordata; Mammalia; Chiroptera; Vespertilionidae.